Molecule: ribosomal RNA, 254 nt
Filed under: uncultured bacterium
Lineage: Bacteria
Description: partial 16S ribosomal RNA
Rfam family: Bacterial small subunit ribosomal RNA
Source: RNAcentral
UACGGGGGGGGCAAGCGUUGUUCGGAAUUACUGGGCGUAAAGGGCUCGUAGGCGGCCAACUAAGUCGGAUGUGAAAUCCCCAGGCUCAACUUGGGAACUGCAUCCGAUACUGGAUGGCUUGAAUUCGGGAGAGGGAUGCAGAAUUCCAGGUGUAGCGGUGAAAUGCGUAGAUAUCAGGAGGAACACCUGUGGCGAAAGCGGCUCACUGGACCACAACUGACGCUGGAGGCGCGACAGCGUGGGGAGCAAACAGG